Rattus norvegicus (Norway rat) is the source of this 88-nucleotide small nuclear RNA. NCBI's taxonomy places the organism in Eukaryota, Metazoa, Chordata, Mammalia, Rodentia, Muridae. The record is from Ensembl.
AAAAACAAAAACUGGAACGAUACAGACAAGAUUAGCAUGGCCCCUGAGCAAGGAUGACAAACAAAUUUCUGAAGCGCUCCAUAUUUUU